UGGGGAAUUUUGGACAAUGGGCGAAAGCCUGAUCCAGCAAUGCCGCGUGUGUGAAGAAGGCCUUCGGGUUGUAAAGCACUUUUGUCCGGAAAGAAAUCCUUGGCUCUAAUACAGUCGGGGGAUGACGGUACCGGAAGAAUAAGCACCGGCUAACUACGUGCCAGCAGCCGCGGUAAUACGUAGGGUGCAAGCGUUAAUCGGAAUUACUGGGCGUAAAGCGUGCGCAGGCGGUUUGCUAAGACCGAUGUGAAAUCCCCGGGCUCAACCUGGGAACUGCAUUGGUGACUGGCAGGCUAGAGUAUGGCAGAGGGGGGUAGAAUUCCACGUGUAGCAGUGAAAUGCGUAGAGAUGUGGAGGAAUACCGAUGGCGAAGGCAGCCCCCUGGGGCCAAUACUGACGCUCAUGCACGAAAGCGUGGGGGAGCAAACAGGAUUAGAUACCCUGGUAGUCCACGCCCUAAACGAUGUCAACUAGUUGUUGGGGAUUCAUUUCCUAGUAACGUAGCUAACGCGUGAAGUUGACCGCCUGGGGAGUACGGUCGCAAGAUUAAAACUC
Molecule: ribosomal RNA, 555 nt
Filed under: uncultured bacterium
Lineage: Bacteria
Description: partial 16S ribosomal RNA
Rfam family: Bacterial small subunit ribosomal RNA
Source: RNAcentral